RNAcentral lists this ribosomal RNA (439 nucleotides) under uncultured Williamsia sp. RNAcentral's name for it is "partial 16S ribosomal RNA". It matches the Rfam family "Bacterial small subunit ribosomal RNA", at positions 341 to 792 of the family's 1533-position model. The record is from RNAcentral. Lineage: Bacteria; Bacillati; Actinomycetota; Actinomycetes; Mycobacteriales; Nocardiaceae.
ACGGGAGGCAGCAGUGGGGAAUAUUGCACAAUGGGCGCAAGCCUGAUGCAGCGACGCCGCGUGAGGGAUGACGGCCUUCGGGUUGUAAACCUCUUUCACCAGGGACGAAGAGAAAUUGACGGUACCUGGAGAAGAAGCACCGGCCAACUACGUGCCAGCAGCCGCGGUAAUACGUAGGGUGCGAGCGUUGUCCGGAAUUACUGGGCGUAAAGAGCUCGUAGGCGGUUUGUCGCGUCGUUCGUGAAAUCUUGAUGCUUAACAUCAAGCGUGCGGGCGAUACGGGCAGACUUGAGUACUACAGGGGAGACUGGAAUUCCUGGUGUAGCGGUGAAAUGCGCAGAUAUCAGGAGGAACACCGGUGGCGAAGGCGGGUCUCUGGGUAGUAACUGACGCUGAGGAGCGAAAGCGUGGGUAGCGAACAGGAUUAGAUACCCUGGUA